This 4502-nucleotide long non-coding RNA is filed under the name Canis lupus familiaris (dog). RNAcentral's name for it is "lncRNA (ENSCAFG00000053103.1)". The record is from RNAcentral. Lineage: Eukaryota; Metazoa; Chordata; Mammalia; Carnivora; Canidae.
AAGUCAGCUCGUGUCAGGGUAUUUGUAAUCUAACAUUUCUUGAAGGUUCACUUGGUAGUUCUAGUGCCCUCCUUUCAUUUGUAUUUGUAAGGAUGUUCAUCACAAUGUUUCCUGUAUUAAAACCAAAGAAAGAUGAUUUCACUCACAUGUGAAAUUUAGAAAAUGAAACGGAUGAACAUAGUGGAAGGGAAAGAGAAAGAGAAGUCAUAAGAGACUUAAUGAUAGAGAACAGACUGAGGGCAGUUGGAGGCAGGUGGGCAGGUGAUGGGCUAGAUGGGUGAUGGGCUAGAUGGGUGAUUGGGUGAUGGGCUAGAUGAGUGAUGGGCAUUAGGGAGGGUGCUUGUUGUGAUGAGCACUGGGUGUUGUAUGCGAGGGAUGAAUCACUGAAUUCUACCUCUGAAACCAGUGUCACACUAUGUUCAGUAAUUAGAAUUUAAUUUUUUUCCAGCUUUUUUUUUUAUUGGUGUUCAAUUUACCAACAUACAGAAUAACCCCCAGUGCCCGUCACCCAAUCACUCCCACCCCCCGCCCUCCUCCCCUUCUAUCACCCCCAGUUCAUUUCCCAGAGUUAGCAGUCUUUACGUUCUGUCUCCCUUUCUGAUAUUUCCCACACAUUUCUUCUCCCUUCCCUUAUAUUCCCUUUCACUAUUAUUUAUAUUCCCCAAAUGAACGAGAACAUACACUGUUUGUCCUUCUCCGACUGACUUACUUCACUUACCAUAAUACCCUCCAGUUCCAUCCACGUUGAAGCAAAUGGUGGGUAUUUGUUGUUUCUAAUGGCUGAGGAAUAUUCCAUUGUAUACAUAGACCACAUCUUCUUUAUCCAUUCAUCUUUUGAUGGACACCGAGACUCCUUCCACAGUUUGGCUAUUGUGGACAUUGCUGCUAGAAACAUCGGGGUGCAGGUGUCCCGGCGUUUCAUUGCAUCUGUAUCUUUGGGGUAAAUCCCCAACAGUGCAAUUGCUGGGUCGUAGGGCAGGUCUAUUUUUAACUCUUUGAGGAACCUCCACACAGUUUUCCAGAGUGGCUGCACCAGUUCACAUUCCCCCCAACAGUGUAAGAGGGUUCCCUUUUCUCCGCAUCCUCUCCAACAUUUGUUUCCUGCCUUGUUAAUUAGAAUUUAAAUAAAAACUUGGAACAAACAAAAAAACUGAUAAAAAUACAGAGAUCUGUUCUGAGUUGUUUCAGUAUUUGUAUUUUCAAACUGAUGAAGGUGAAGAAGCCUUAUUAUUUUUGAUUUUGUAGAAGCCAAGGGAAAAGGAAUUAAAGUUCAGGGGCUGUAGAUGUGAGCCACAGUGGGACUGCAGAAAGGAGUUUGUGGAAUUGGCGUUCUGAUACUAAUGAUCUUCCUUUCUAUUCAGAAGAACCCAAACAAAUAAAAAAGUAAAAACAAAAAUUACCAAGAAAAGUAAUGGGGGUGGAUGGCUGGCUCAGGCCGUGGAGGCUGUGGCUCUUGAUCUCUGGGUCGUGAGUUUGAGCCCCAUGUUGGGUACAGAGAUGACUUUAAAGGUAAAAUUUCUUAGAAAGGGAAGUAAUAAGGAGAUGUAGAGUCAAAUCAGAAGUCAUUUAAUAUAUAAAAAUGCAGCACUUACUGUGAAGCCCAAUGUUUUAUUUGCCUUCGGAAUGAUCCUUGGAUAUUGAGAAGAUUCCUGUUUCAUGGGGCUUCAUUUUGAUAUUCUAGAGAGUAGAAUUUUAUCUGAUACUUUACUGCCUAGUUUUGUAAUUGGGCUAUUUCACAAAAGGGCCAUCAGCCUUUUAUUGGUAUGAGAAAUUCUGUUUACUUUUAAGUUAAAUUCACAGUGUCCUUUCUCUGUGAAAAAAAUGAUGCUUCCUAGUUACACAGAAAUGACAGGGUUUAUUUAUCUCAAGAUUUUCCUACCUGUAUUGGCGCUCUCUGGAUUACACUGACAUUAAUAAUUGUGACCUGCUGUUUUAUGGAGUGGUGUGGUUCUGGAGGCAGCUGGUGUGUUUGUCACUGACAUACCGGAGAAAUCUUGUUCUUCUUUUAUUGUUUUGUGGCUGAUAAGGCUGAGCACAGGUGUAAAUAUUACUUUUGAGGUGAAAUAUCAGAGUUCUUGUUCCACCCUCAUUAAUCAUGGGCACACACAGCACACAAAGUUUUUUCAUCAGCAUACAUAAUACUUCUUGGUUAGUCAAAUUGUGUGAUUUUUAAAAAAUUGACUAGAGCUAAAGACCUUUUAUAAACUAGAGGCCAGCUAAGAAUACAGACAAAAAAGUUCAUCAUAAAUUAGGUUCUGGGCCUGUGCCCAUGUACAAUGACACAUAUUUAGUCUUGAAAACUCAUUUUGCAAGUCUGGGCAGGAUUUGGAAUUUUCAACUACGCAUUUUUCAUCAUUGUUACAGUAUUUUAUUGGUAAGACUGGGCAGGAAAACAAAAGCCUCUUCAUAAGAAAUAAGACAGAAAUAAGAAAUAAGCAGUUAUUUCUUCACAGAACUUUAACUUGCAACAGGUUGCUGAAUAUUUGAUUUUUGUCGUUUGGAAAGUCCUAUUGCUGUUUACUCCUCACAUAGACACUGUUGAUGUUUUGACUGCUGUAUAUUUUUUUUUCCUGGAAGCGAGGCGUAUGGCUCAGGUUUUUCUGGAAGUGAGGUGUAUCAUCUUAAUGAGCUCACUCUUAGUAAAAUACAUAUGUCGUGUAUGACAUUCUGAUUUCAUGCAAAGCUUAUACUCAUUAUGAAAAUAACUUGCAGAAAAUGUUUGUACCAUGACUGGGUUUUGGAACUAAACUCUUUGAAGGAAAAACAAGGCUGUAUGAUUUGCUAAUUUCAAGGGAGUGCUUUAAGGAAUAGUGUCAAAAUAUAGUGAAAACAGCUAUCGAAAUUUAUAUAUGGCAUUCAGGUAAAUAUGUUCAAGACCUUAUCUCAUUAGUUAAAAUAGUAAAAUUAGUAUUGAUAACUUAGAGAAAUACAGACAGCAGUUUUCUUUCUAGUUCAUGAGAUGGUAGAAAUUCAAAAGAAUAAUUUUGGGGAUUGUCAGUGGUAUUCCUGCUGUGAUAGUUUUAUACAUUUUGUGAAUAGUGGAAACCAUGUGCACUUGAAAGUUAUUUACCAUCAUUUUGUUUUAGAUUUGCAGAGUGAUUUAUAUAUAGUGAACUGAUAUGUAUCUUAAUAUCAUUUAUUAGAGAAUACAAUUCGUUAAAUGAGCAACUUUUUUCCAGAAUUAUAUUGUAUGUGAAACAAAUAGAAAACCUAAUGGUUAUAGUGAGUAGAAACAUAGUUUUCAUUUGGGUAAUUAUUUUAAGAUUUUGCAUUCUCUUUGUUGAAUCCACUGGAGGCAAAUUUGAAUUUUCUCUACAAAGUUAAAAUAUUUGGGUGAUGUAUGUUUUUAUCUUCUUUUUAUUGUUUUGGCUCUCAAGCCAAACCUGGGUUCCCUCUUAAUGUUGUACUUUGCAAUAUGUUAAUAACAUAGGUAAGUUGUUUGUUGUCUGACAACUACAAUUUUUUAAAUUGACAUAAAUUUUUUUUGUCAAUUUUUUUUGAAUGAUGAUAAAACAUGACAAGGUUGUUUGUAUACCAAAAGCUCACAAAAUAAAACUAUCUUUUCCCUAGAAAUUAAAACUAAUAGUGCUGACAACUGUUAGGUAAAGUUUUUAGUAUAUUUUAGAAAGAUCAUGAAUUUUAUGCCCAAACUCAGGUUUAAAAAUUCCGACUCUCACACGUGCUGGCUCUUUGCCUUUAAGUUUUAAAAUUGGCUCUAAGCCUCAGUUCCUCCAUCUCUGAAAUGGGCAUGCCACAUAAAUUACACAGCUGCUGUCUUAAUAUAUAGAGCUGAGUGCAUUAAUAUAUGUUAUGCACUUAGCACUGUCUCAGAAAAGAGAAAGAGAACAGAAAAUAAUAGCUCUUACUGUUUUUCUUCAGAGUUGCUUCUCUGUUCUUGUCCUUAAACAUUAGGAUCAUCUGAUCUAUUUUCUUUGUUGGCCCGGCCACCUUUCCUAGAUGUGACAACCAAAAACCAUUGGCCUUUGUAUUUAUAUUCAUUUCGGAAUAUCUUUACCAUCAAUGAUAUUUAAGUUUUAUUCUUUAAGUUUUUUAUUACAGGAAAUCCACGUCUCAUAUCCCUAUUAACUAUAGUAUCUGAUAUAUCAAAACAUCUUAUUCCCAUUUGGAUAAUGAAUUUACUAUGUGAAUAGCAUGCACUGGGCAAAUAUAAAAAUAUGAUGUGGCUAACCAUUAAGAUGACCACUUCAUUGCCUCUGUAUCUGCCUUUCUAUCAGAGGUGCCUUUUCUAGGGCUGAAUGGAUUUCAUUGCUAUAGAAAGAGCCUAAGUGCAUGGAGUAAAGGUUGACCCAAACAAUACAUGGAAUAUAGGUUUCUGUUUCCUCAGAUAAACUUUAGCAUGUCAGCGAUCAAGAGUUUUAUGGUAAGAUAUGGUCUUGGAUUUAUCCAUCAUGGUGUAGAUACAAAAAAUAGCCCAAUUAUUGUAUCUAUUGGCUACAUUGGCAGUGGAAUUGUGAGACUAUAUCAUGUUAAGAUUUGGGGAA